Molecule: ribosomal RNA, 510 nt
Filed under: uncultured bacterium
Lineage: Bacteria
Description: bacterial SSU rRNA
Rfam family: Bacterial small subunit ribosomal RNA
Source: RNAcentral
GAUCCUGGCUCAGGAUGAACGCUAGCGACAGGCUUAACACAUGCAAGUCGAGGGGCAGCAUAAAAGUAGCAAUACUUGGUGGCGACCGGCGCACGGGUGAGUAACGCGUAUGCAACCUACCUAUCAGAGGGGAAUAACCCGGCGAAAGUCGGACUAAUACCGCAUAAAACAGGGACACCGCAUGGUGAUAUUUGUUAAAGAAAUUCGCUGAUAGAUGGGCAUGCGUUCCAUUAGGUAGUUGGUGAGGUAACGGCUCACCAAGCCGACGAUGGAUAGGGGAACUGAGAGGUUGGUCCCCCACACUGGUACUGAGACACGGACCAGACUCCUACGGGAGGCAGCAGUGAGGAAUAUUGGUCAAUGGGCGAGAGCCUGAACCAGCCAAGUCGCGUGAAGGAAGAAGGAUCUAUGGUUCGUAAACUUCUUUUGCAGGGGAAUAAAGUGCAGGACGUGUCCUGUUUUGUAUGUACCCUGAGAAUAAGGAUCGGCUAACUCCGUGCCAGCCGCGGC